Molecule: ribosomal RNA, 490 nt
Filed under: uncultured bacterium
Lineage: Bacteria
Description: partial 16S ribosomal RNA
Rfam family: Bacterial small subunit ribosomal RNA
Source: RNAcentral
AGUGAACGCUGGCGGCAUGCCUAACACAUGCAAGUCGAACGGCAGCACAAGAGAGCUUGCUCUCUGGGUGGCGAGUGGCGGACGGGUGAGGAAUGCAUCGGAAUCUGCCCAUUUGUGGGGGAUAACCUCGGGAAACCGGGACUAAUACCGCAUACGACCUACGGGUGAAAGCAGGGGAUCUUCGGACCUUGCGCAGAUGGAUGAGCCGAUGCCGGAUUAGCUAGUUGGAGGGGUAAAGGCCCACCAAGGCGACGAUCCGUAGCUGGUCUGAGAGGAUGAUCAGCCACACUGGAACUGAGACACGGCCCAGACUCCUACGGGAGGCAGCAGUGGGGAAUAUUGGACAAUGGGCGCAAGCCUGAUCCAGCCAUGCCGCGUGUGUGAAGAAGGCCUUCGGGUUGUAAAGCACUUUUGUUGGGAAAGAAAAGCAGCCGGUUAAUACCCGGUUGUCAUGACGGUACCCAAAGAAUAAGCACCGGCUAACUUCGUG